UAAAACAGCAACAGAGGUUUUUACUUUCUGUGAUUUCACAUAGUAAAAGAGAUUGGUGUAUGUAAAGAAGCGAGGAUGUAGUCUAACUGAUCUUAACUUGUGUAAAACUCAACAGAAAACUAAUAUCCCCUCUUAAACUUUUUUUUUUUUUUUUUUAGCUAUUCCCAGACUUGUGUGUGUGUGCAUAACUUAUUUCAAGAGCCUUUGAUUUCUUUUCAGAUCCUCAACCGGAUAAGGCCCUGAGCAACCUGAUCUGAAGCUGGUCCUGCCCUGAGCUGGAUGUUGAACCAGAUUUCUUCUGUUUGUCUGCUGUAAUAAUGACAUGGGAGAAUGAUUGCUGAAAUAUGCUGUAUCCAAGCCUGUAGCUUGGGUCUUUGCAGUCAUCAGCUCCCUUCUUCCCCUCCAGAACAUCUAAAAAAAGUUGACG
Molecule: long non-coding RNA, 427 nt
Filed under: Anas zonorhyncha (Eastern spot-billed duck)
Lineage: Eukaryota; Metazoa; Chordata; Aves; Anseriformes; Anatidae
Description: lncRNA (ENSAZOG00000002458.1)
Source: RNAcentral